AACCGAUGCCCCUGUAGGAGCUGCCGCAGGCUGCGAUCUUUUGAUUUUGGUUUCAAGAUCAAAAGAUCGCAGCCUGCGGCAGCUCCUACAAGGGAU
This 96-nucleotide unclassified non-coding RNA is filed under the name Pseudomonas umsongensis. RNAcentral describes it as "microRNA mir-598". Lineage: Bacteria; Pseudomonadati; Pseudomonadota; Gammaproteobacteria; Pseudomonadales; Pseudomonadaceae. The record is from RNAcentral.